RNAcentral lists this ribosomal RNA (253 nucleotides) under uncultured bacterium. RNAcentral's name for it is "partial 16S ribosomal RNA". It matches the Rfam family "Bacterial small subunit ribosomal RNA", at positions 524 to 776 of the family's 1533-position model. The record is from RNAcentral.
GACGUAGGGUGCGAGCGUUGUCCGGAUUUAUUGGGCGUAAAGAGCUCGUAGGCGGCUCGUCGCGUCGACCGUGAAAACCCGCGGCUUAACUGUGGGACUGCAGUCGAUACGGGCUAGCUAGAGUUCGGUAGGGGAGACUGGAAUUCCUGGUGUAGCGGUGAAAUGCGCAGAUAUCAGGAGGAACACCGGUGGCGAAGGCGGGUCUCUGGGCCGAUACUGACGCUGAGGAGCGAAAGCGUGGGGAGCGAACAGG